This 83-nucleotide transfer RNA is filed under the name Hypoxylon rubiginosum. RNAcentral's name for it is "tRNA-OTHER". It matches the Rfam family "tRNA". From Rfam's summary of the family: Transfer RNA (tRNA) molecules are approximately 80 nucleotides in length. Their secondary structure includes four short double-helical elements and three loops (D, anti-codon, and T loops). Further hydrogen bonds mediate the characteristic L-shaped molecular structure. tRNAs have two regions of fundamental functional importance: the anti-codon, which is responsible for specific mRNA codon recognition, and the 3' end, to which the tRNAs corresponding amino acid is attached (by aminoacyl-tRNA synthetases). tRNAs cope with the degeneracy of the genetic code in two manners: having more than one tRNA (with a specific anti-codon) for a particular amino acid; and 'wobble' base-pairing, i.e. permitting non-standard base-pairing at the 3rd anti-codon position. Lineage: Eukaryota; Fungi; Ascomycota; Sordariomycetes; Xylariales; Hypoxylaceae. The record is from RNAcentral.
CGUAGCGUGGUGCAAUGGUAGCAUAGCCGGAGUCUCAGUAAAUCAAAACCGAGAAGACGCAGGUUCGAACCCUGCCGCUACUA